This is a long non-coding RNA of Capsicum annuum, 977 nucleotides long. RefSeq lists it as uncharacterized. NCBI's taxonomy places the organism in Eukaryota, Viridiplantae, Streptophyta, Magnoliopsida, Solanales, Solanaceae. The record is from RefSeq and is a predicted model, not a curated record. The transcript is spliced from 2 exons.
GGAACUUGAGAUACAGUCGCAAUAUUGGUGUAGUUAUAAAGACAUAGGAUUAUUUGAUAUGUGGAUUAAAUUAUUCGGAGAUCGUAAUUUCCUGACUAAUUUAUCCCAAUAUCAAGAUGGGAUAAAAUAAUCCCAAGGUGAAUAAGAUAAGGUAGAAUGUCCUAAGAUUAAGCCUAAAAUAAAAUCAAUACUACAUUCGGCAGACAAUAUAAAUUUAUCUUAGGACGUGUUAGGAGGGAUUGCCCCAGACUUAGGGCGGGGGCAGCAUCAGAGUUUUCAGCUACCCAUUAGGGCAGCUGUACAGUUAACUAUGAGUGAUGGUGGUUCACAGGUAGAUAGAGGUGUGCCACAGACUGUCAAGGUGGUGGUAGAGGAGUUAUCCGGGGCAGAGGAUGAUUGUUCACAUUGUCAUUCAUUCACAAGUAUAUCAGAGGAAAUUAGAUUUUGGAAGCUAAGUUCGUGAAAAAAAGGAAAAAGGUGUUUUUGGCUACUUAUGUGAUCAAUAUUGGGUGUUCGUGACACUUCUCGACUGGUUCAUGACCAAAACAUGUGCAGGAGUUGAAGAAGAGUUGAAAAAUAACUUCUGGCACUUGCUAAGUCAACAUGCACAUCGCAUGUGGGCAAAGCAUGUGUCAGAGGUCCAAAAUCUCGAGAGCUAACCUAUAGGAAAUUAUGGUCUAGGCACAUGUGGUCACCACAUGCACCCAUCCUCACGUCGCAUGUACCAUAUGCGCCCAAGGACAGGCCGCAUGGGGAGACCACAUGUAGCCACUGAUCCUUUUUUCUCCUAUUUCGUUUGGGAUUUGGUUUUAAGAUUUUCUCAUGUACUAUAAAUACCCCUUAUGUGUUUUUUAGUAGAAGUGUCAUACUUUUGAUACUUACAUACAUAUUUUGAUUUCGAGAAUCGAUUUUAUUCUUGGAAUUUUCUUGUAUUGAUUUCCGUUGAUUAAUUCAGUUACUGUUUUGGGUUUUUACUU